Molecule: ribosomal RNA, 440 nt
Filed under: uncultured bacterium
Lineage: Bacteria
Description: partial 16S ribosomal RNA
Rfam family: Bacterial small subunit ribosomal RNA
Source: RNAcentral
CCUACGGGAGGCAGCAGUGGGGAAUAUUGCACAAUGGGGGAAACCCUGAUGCAGCGACGCCGCGUGAGUGAAGAAGUAUCUCGGUACGUAAAGCUCUAUCAGCAGGGAAGAAAAUGACGGUACCUGACUAAGAAGCCACGGCUAACUACGUGCCAGCAGCCGCGGGAAUACGUAGGGGGCAAGCGUUAUCCGGAUUUACUGGGUGUAAAGGGAGCGUAGACGGCAGGUCAAGUCAGGAGUGAAAUCCCGGGGCUUAACCCGGGAACUGCUUUGGAAACUGUGCGGCUGGAGUGCCGGAGGGGUAAGUGGAAUUCCUAGUGUAGGGGUGAAAUGCGUAGAUAUUAGGAGGAACACCGGUGGCGAAGGCGGCUAACUGGACUGUAACUGACGUUGAGGAUCGAAAGCGUGGGGAGCAAACAGGAUUAGAUACCCGUGUAGUC